UACAGAGGUCCCAAGCGUUGUUCGGAUUCACUGGGCGUAAAGGGCGCGUAGGUGGCUUGGUAAGUUUGAUGUGAAAUCUCCGGGCUUAACCCGGAAAAUGCAUUGAAUACUAUUUGAGCUCGAGGAUUGGAGGGGGGACUGGAAUUCUUGGUGUAGCAGUGAAAUGCGUAGAUAUCAAGAGGAACACCAGUGGCGAAGGCGAGUCCCUGGACAACACCUGACACUGAGGCGCGAAAGCUGGGGGAGCAAACAGG
This 254-nucleotide ribosomal RNA is filed under the name uncultured bacterium. RNAcentral's name for it is "partial 16S ribosomal RNA". It matches the Rfam family "Bacterial small subunit ribosomal RNA", at positions 524 to 776 of the family's 1533-position model. The record is from RNAcentral.